This 60-nucleotide transfer RNA is filed under the name Sus scrofa (pig). It matches the Rfam family "tRNA", at positions 7 to 64 of the family's 71-position model. From Rfam's summary of the family: Transfer RNA (tRNA) molecules are approximately 80 nucleotides in length. Their secondary structure includes four short double-helical elements and three loops (D, anti-codon, and T loops). The record is from Rfam by way of RNAcentral. Lineage: Eukaryota; Metazoa; Chordata; Mammalia; Artiodactyla; Suidae.
GUGGCUCAGUGGGUUGAGAAUCUGACUGGUAUUCAUGAGGAUGCAGGUUCGAUCCCUGCC